Molecule: ribosomal RNA, 466 nt
Filed under: uncultured bacterium
Lineage: Bacteria
Description: partial 16S ribosomal RNA
Rfam family: Bacterial small subunit ribosomal RNA (bases 48-466)
Source: RNAcentral
GGGGGGGGGGGGGGGGGGGGGUGGGGGAGGGGGGGGGGGGGGGGAGGGCGUGCUUGCGGGGUACGCGAGGGGCGAACGGGUGGGUGAGACGUGGGUGGGGUGCGCGGCACGUCGGGUUACGCUGUGGGGACGGGGGCUAAUACUCGGUAGGGGGCAGCGUGAGUGUGGUGGGUGGAAAGUUUUUUGGGUGUAUGAUGAGUUGUCGGCGUAUCAUCUUGUUUGUGGGGUGAUGGCCUACCAAGGCGGCGAGGGGUAGCCGGCCUGAGAGGGUGUACGGCAACAUUGGGACUGAGAUACGGCCCAGACUCCUACGGGAGGCAGCAGUGGGGAAUAUUGCACAAUGGGCGCAAGCCUGAUGCAGCGACGCCGCGUGGGGGAUGAAGGCCUUCGGGUUGUAAACUCCUUUCGCUAGGGACGAAGCUUUUUUGUGACGGUACCUAGAUAAGAAGCACCGGCUAACUACGUG